Molecule: ribosomal RNA, 490 nt
Filed under: uncultured bacterium
Lineage: Bacteria
Description: partial 16S ribosomal RNA
Rfam family: Bacterial small subunit ribosomal RNA
Source: RNAcentral
AUUGAACGCUGGCGGCAGGCCUAACACAUGCAAGUCGAACGGUAACAGAAAGCAGCUUGCUGCUUUGCUGACGAGUGGCGGACGGGUGAGUAAUGUCUGGGAAACUGCCUGAUGGAGGGGGAUAACUACUGGAAACGGUAGCUAAUACCGCAUAACGUCGCAAGACCAAAGAGCGGGACCUUCUGGCCUCUUGCCCUCGGAUGUGCCCAGAUGGGAUUAGCUAGUAGGUGGGGUAAAGGCUCACCUAGGCGACGAUCCCUAGCUGGUCUGAGAGGAUGACCAGCCACACUGGAACUGAGACACGGUCCAGACUCCUACGGGAGGCAGCAGUGGGGAAUAUUGCACAAUGGGCGCAAGCCUGAUGCAGCCAUGCCGCGUGUAUGAAGAAGGCCUUCGGGUUGUAAAGUACUUUCAGCGGGGAGGAAGGGAGUAAAGUUAAUACCUUGGCUCAUUGACGUUACCCGCAGAAGAAGCACCGGCUAACUCCGUG